This 470-nucleotide long non-coding RNA is filed under the name Musa acuminata (dwarf banana). Its description in RNAcentral is "long non-coding RNA (MACU_LNC007467)". The record is from RNAcentral. Lineage: Eukaryota; Viridiplantae; Streptophyta; Magnoliopsida; Zingiberales; Musaceae.
UCGUCCUUAGAACUGUCUCGAUGCCAUGAACGUUGGUCUAAGACAAAGUAAGGAGGUUGUUGGAUUUUCGUUACGACUAUCCCUUUAGCUAUUGACUAUGAUACCACCCCUUUAGCUAUUGACUAUGAUAAUAGAAUCUAGUAUGAUGAUUGUGACUAUGAUAAUAGAAUCUAGUAUGAUGAUUGAUGGAGUAGGUGCUUGCUAUCUUCCUUAGGUAGUAUGAUGUAUUGAUUGAGUAAGGUAGUAUGAUGUAUUGAUCGAGUAGGUGCUAUCUUCCUUAGGUAGUAUGAUGAUUGAUCGAGUAGGUGCUAUCUCCUUAGGUAGUAUGAUGAUUGAUCGAGUAGGUGCUAUCUCCUUAGGCGAGGGUAAGCAAAGCCAGAAGACUCACUCCAAGAGGAAUCGACUGAAAGAAGGAACACUCAGAAAUCCCACACCCCACAUAAGUAACGAGCGGAAGAGGGAAUGCAUGC